Long non-coding RNA from Ictalurus punctatus (channel catfish), 1992 nucleotides. The record is from Ensembl. NCBI's taxonomy places the organism in Eukaryota, Metazoa, Chordata, Actinopteri, Siluriformes, Ictaluridae.
ACUGGACUAAUGCUGCAGCUCAAAGCUCUCUUGUGCACCGAGGGGGAAUUAACGCACAGCAAUUACACCUCCACACAAUCCCGGCUGAAAGAAAAGAUGUUUGGUGGUCAGGAGGAUCGGAAGAUAAAGGGAAACCAAAUAGAACACUCUGUUUGGAUGCACUUGAUUUUCUGUUUUAUUUAUAGCCAGAAAUGACAGAGAUGAAACAUCCCCGUGUUUAAUCUCCCGACUCUCAGCCCCAAAGCAAGACUGUACUGUACUCCUCCCACCAGAGCAGAACAAGAGUUAGAGAGCAUGUGUGCCACGCUUCAAAACCAGCAGAAAUGCAUGGCCUCCUUCUUUCUCCAUCCCUCCUGUGGUGUGAAUUGGACUGUGGCACUCUAAUCGGAGGGUCAUCUGCCUGGCCUGGCUGCACAAAUGAUGGCUGCCUGCCUGCUGCUGAAUUAUGAAUGUGAGGGAGAUGAAUAUUUCAUUUUCCUCUUAGCUGGGGCCUUUUGGCAGCAAGGGCGGGGUACAGUCAUGUGACCUGCAUGACCACGGACAACUCAUUUCUUAUUGAUGCAGGCAUUUAGCUGAAUUGAGCUAAUAAUGAGGCUGACACAGCUUAGCACACAUUCGUAGAAACUCAGCAUUGGGAGACGUUAUCUGAAAAUGCAGGAGGUUUAAUUAACCAUCUGUAAUCCAGGACGCAACCAGUGACAUACGGUAUGAAGACAAGCUGCUGUGGGUUUAUUCACACUUCCAAAUCAUCCCACAUCCCAGUUGAAGUCAUUCAGCUGCCCAAUUGCUCGAUAUGGCGAUUCAUUCAGAAAGGGAACAGAGCCACUCAUGUACCACUCAGUGCCUUCCACACUAGCAUGCACAUGUAUGCACUCACACACACCCACACCCACACAUCCUCCUCCACCUUGUCAUCAAGUGGCUAACAACCAAAGCUGCGAUGAGCCAAAAGCAUCUUUCCUGGUGUUCAGAUGUAAUUAUUUCCAUUGUUUAAUCAAGCACACCAUUUAAUCAUUGAAUUUGAAUAGGGCUUUUAGUAGUGGCCAACAGGACAGGAUGACCAUGCAGAGGCAGCCAAGCAUCGCCUCUCCUCUACUUAGCCCAUCACAGUCCAUCAAAACAAUUUCACACAUGGAGAGCAAACCUUAAUGGCACUUCACAAAUGGUGCUGAGGCCCAGCUCACCCUGGGGAGGGGGUGAAGGAGUGAGCAUGGGAGGGGAACCUUAGUGCAACAAUGGCGCAUUAGCGUGACCGUGAAGGAUGUGUUCCUCAUGGUCCCAGCAACAGACAACUACAUACAGCACAUGCUCAGAUAGACACUUCAGCUCGCAAACUGUACCAUGCCCUCUAGGCCAACAUGUAGAAUAACUGUAUUUUAUGUAGCCUCUGGGUUGCACACACAGCAAAGAUAUGUAGAGUGCAACUGCCAGCCCUGUGAUCGCUAUUUUGCCCCUGGCUGCACUACUGUCCGAGAUCAAGGCUCACUUUGUGCCAGGAAAUGUAGUUAGAUUUCAGGCAACCCCUCUGGUGCAGUACUCGUUAGAUAUUGCCCCUGUACACCAUUCACAUGAUCAUCAGUUAACCACCCUAAGCUUACAUACACUGUAUACUGAAUAUCAUUAACUCAUGCUUACGUUUUUUUGCAGGCAAAGUACAGAAUCAACAUCACUGCUGAUCAUUUUAUUCAGAAAUUCAAUCAGUUGGAUACAAACCAGCUAACAAUUUUAGCUUAGCAGAAUGUUUUAAUGUUUAAUCUUAUGGUUCUAGACACGUCCGUUUCUAAAAUUGUCGGUUUGUGGAUUAUUUGAGAAAUUGUUUUAGAAAUAUUCCUACAACAUCGCUCCAAGUACUUCCGUUGUAGGAUCAUUAACACUACAAUUUCUACCAUGUUAUUUGGGAACAUUAUAUAAACGUUCUACUAAUAUAAAAACAAAACAUUAUUACAGCAGAGGUUUUAGAACAUUGUAGCAAUGGUAUUUCUUCAAACAAGC